UCCUCAUUCUACUUUUAAUUUAAUUGUUUUUUAAAAAAUGUUCUAAAGAACUUCACCGAUAAUAGUCUACAUCAAAAGAGGUGGUUCCUCCCAGAUAUCUCUAAUAUUUCAAAUCUUAUGAAUGCAAGAUUGAAAAGAUUUGAAUCCAAGAGGCCCUACCAUUUGGUUAGCCGGCACUUUCAGUGCAGGACCCUACCUAUUAGCUAGUGUUAAUGAGCCUCAGUGCA
Molecule: long non-coding RNA, 227 nt
Filed under: Elaeis guineensis (African oil palm)
Lineage: Eukaryota; Viridiplantae; Streptophyta; Magnoliopsida; Arecales; Arecaceae
Description: long non-coding RNA (EGUI_LNC022445)
Source: RNAcentral